AUAUGUCAUGACGUAUAUGAUAGAUCCCACUAUCGAAGCAUAUAAAAUUUUACUCAUACGCUCUCUCUUAUGGACUUUUCAGACAAUCCUUCUUAGAGAGAGUAAUUCCAUAGCCUAUCAAAAAAUAAUUUUUUUUGAAAUUUUCUAUACUGAACUAUUUCAGCAUAGUAUCUAUGUAUAUGGAUUCGGACAAUCCAAGCAGCCUCUUAGAUCUAUCCCU
This 220-nucleotide long non-coding RNA is filed under the name Elaeis guineensis (African oil palm). RNAcentral describes it as "long non-coding RNA (EGUI_LNC051891)". The record is from RNAcentral. Lineage: Eukaryota; Viridiplantae; Streptophyta; Magnoliopsida; Arecales; Arecaceae.